Molecule: ribosomal RNA, 443 nt
Filed under: uncultured bacterium
Lineage: Bacteria
Description: bacterial SSU rRNA
Rfam family: Bacterial small subunit ribosomal RNA
Source: RNAcentral
CCUACGGGUGGCAGCAGUUAGGAAUCUUGCGCAAUGGGGGAAACCCUGACGCAGCAACGCCGCGUGAAGGACGAAAGCCUUCGGGUUGUAAACUUCUUUUAGCAGGAAAGAAACAAAUGACGGUACCUGCAGAAAAAGCACCGGCUAACUCUGUGCCAGCAGCCGCGGUAAUACAGAGGGUGCAAGCGUUAUUCGGAUUUACUGGGCAUAAAGAGCGCGUAGGCGGUUUAAUAAGUCUGAUGUGAAAUCCCUGGACCCAAUCCAGGAAGUGCAUCGGAUACUGUUAGACUUGAGUACAGGAGGGGAGAGCGGAAUUCCAGGUGUAGAGGUGAAAUUCGUAGAUAUCUGGAGGAACAACAGUGGCGAAGGCGGCUCUCUGGACUGUUACUGACGCUGAGGCGCGAAAGCGUGGGGAGCAAACAGGAUUAGAUACCCCUGUAGUC